RNAcentral lists this ribosomal RNA (253 nucleotides) under uncultured bacterium. RNAcentral's name for it is "partial 16S ribosomal RNA". It matches the Rfam family "Bacterial small subunit ribosomal RNA", at positions 524 to 776 of the family's 1533-position model. The record is from RNAcentral.
UACGUAGGGGGCAAGCGUUGUUCGGAAUUACUGGGCGUAAAGGGCUCGUAGGUGGCCAACUAAGUCAGACGUGAAAUCCCUCGGCUUAACCGGGGAACUGCGUCUGAUACUGGAUGGCUUGAGUUUGGGAGAGGGACGCGGAAUUCCAGGUGUAGCGGUGAAAUGCGUAGAUAUCUGGAGGAACACCGGUGGCGAAGGCGGCGUCCUGGACCAACACUGACACUGAGGAGCGAAAGCGUGGGGAGCGAUCCGG